RNAcentral lists this ribosomal RNA (497 nucleotides) under uncultured bacterium. Its description in RNAcentral is "partial 16S ribosomal RNA". It matches the Rfam family "Bacterial small subunit ribosomal RNA", at positions 28 to 507 of the family's 1533-position model. The record is from RNAcentral.
GAUGAACGCUGGCGGCGUGCCUAAUACAUGCAAGUCGAGCGAACAGACGAGGAGCUUGCUCCUCUGACGUUAGCGGCGGACGGGUGAGUAACACGUGGAUAACCUACCUAUAAGACUGGGAUAACUUCGGGAAACCGGAGCUAAUACCGGAUAAUAUAUUGAACCGCAUUGUUCAAUAGUGAAAGACGGUUUUGCUGUCACUUAUAGAUUGAUCCGCGCCGCAUUAACUAGUUGUUAAGGUAACGGCUUACCAAGGCAACGAUGCGUAGCCGACCUGAGAGGGUGAUCGGCCACACUGGAACUGAGACACGGUCCAGACUCCUACGGGAGGCAGCAGUAGGGAAUCUUCCGCAAUGGGCGAAAGCCUGACGGAGCAACGCCGCGUGAGUGAUGAAGGUCUUCGGAUCGUAAAACUCUGUUAUUAGGGAAGAACAAAUGUGUAAGUAACUAUGCACGUCUUGACGGUACCUAAUCAGAAAGCCACGGCUAACUACGUG